CAUAGUAUCCUGUUUUAUUUCAUGCACUGGUCAAUUCUAAGAUUACCUUGUGUAAUGUUUUAAAGAGCCCCUGUUAUAUAUGUUUUCUUGAUGUAUACUUGACAUAGGUUUACAUGUUUAGGUUUGCAUGCUUAUGUCUGAGGUCUUGGCCCGCCUCCCCAUAAAGCCCAGUCUGCUCUGAUUGGUCAGCUGGCCCACUCUGUUGUUGUUGGUCCUCCAAAUUCAAACAAGCCACUGGGCGGGCUGUGCUGGCUCAGGCAGCACCUAUGGGUAGCACGUAUGAAAAACUGGGCUGGCUUUCUCAAUCAAUAACAUUAGGCACGUUCGCCUGUAAAGUGGACGAGAGCAGGCGGCAGACAAAAAUCUGCUGUCAAGUCAGACAGUUGACAGCUGUCUCCAGCAGCCUUUAGGCUGCACAAGAAGUCACAGAAACACUCACAUCCUGUUUGGUCCGAUUACGAUAAAAUGUUCAGCUUGUACGCAGUCUCAAGUUGUUUUUAUUUUUACAGAGUAUGUCUUUGUAUAGUGAUGUUUGUAUUCAGAAGAAGAAGAAACGCUCCUGUGUUUUUGGUUUUUGUAGCCGGAAAAUGCUGGUAUGAUGUCAAGUGUUCUGUCCUUCGCCCAUUUGUCUGCAGCAAGAAAAUCUGAUGAUUCCUGGGCUGACACAGAGGCAUCAAGAUUGAAGAGACAAGUGACAUACAGGAGCUGGAUUGUCUCUUAGGCCUAAGAGCAGACUGAACGAGUUAUGAAAAUAAUGCUUUUACCACAACUGUAUUCUGUCUGGAGAGUGAACUGGUCUUUCUUGUCUUUCAAUAUGCAAAAUUAAAACGCUCAAGCAUUGAAA
Perca fluviatilis (European perch) is the source of this 844-nucleotide long non-coding RNA. RefSeq lists it as uncharacterized. The transcript is spliced from 2 exons. The record is from RefSeq and is a predicted model, not a curated record. Lineage: Eukaryota; Metazoa; Chordata; Actinopteri; Perciformes; Percidae.